This is a non-coding RNA of Pseudoalteromonas sp., 73 nucleotides long. The record is from Rfam. Lineage: Bacteria; Pseudomonadati; Pseudomonadota; Gammaproteobacteria; Alteromonadales; Pseudoalteromonadaceae.
GGGUGAUUAGCUCAGUUGGGAGAGCAUCGCCCUUACAAGGCGAGGGUCACUGGUUCAAGUCCAGUAUCACCCA